This 267-nucleotide ribosomal RNA is filed under the name uncultured Pseudomonas sp. Its description in RNAcentral is "partial 16S ribosomal RNA". It matches the Rfam family "Bacterial small subunit ribosomal RNA", at positions 1117 to 1382 of the family's 1533-position model. Lineage: Bacteria; Pseudomonadati; Pseudomonadota; Gammaproteobacteria; Pseudomonadales; Pseudomonadaceae. The record is from RNAcentral.
ACCAGCACGUUAUGGUGGGCACUCUAAGGAGACUGCCGGUGACAAACCGGAGGAAGGUGGGGGAUGACGUCAAGUCAUCAUGGCCCUUACGGCCUGGGCUACACACGUGCUACAAUGGUCGGUACAAAGGGUUGCCAAGCCGCGAGGUGGAGCUAAUCCCAUAAGACCGAUCGUAGUCCGGAUCGCAGUCUGCAACUCGACUGCGUGAAGUCGGAAUCGCUAGUAAUCGUGAAUCAGAAUGUCACGGUGAAUACGUUCCCGGGCCUU